RNAcentral lists this unclassified non-coding RNA (348 nucleotides) under soil metagenome. RNAcentral's name for it is "partial contains 5.8S ribosomal RNA, internal transcribed spacer 2, and large subunit ribosomal RNA". The stretch from base 1 to 120 matches the Rfam family "5.8S ribosomal RNA", at positions 35 to 154 of the family's 154-position model. The record is from RNAcentral.
GAUGAAGAACGUAGCGAAAUGCGAUAAGUAAUGUGAAUUGCAGAAUUCAGUGAAUCAUCGAAUCUUUGAACGCACAUUGCGCCCGCCAGUAUUCUGGCGGGCAGGCCUGUCUGAGCGUCAUUUCAACCCUCAUGCCCCUAGGGCGUGGUGUUGGGGAUCGGCCAAAGCCCGCGAGGGACGGCCGGCCCCUAAAUCUAGUGGCGGACCCGUCGUGGCCUCCUCUGCGAAGUAGUGAUAUUCCGCAUCGGAGAGCGACGAGCCCCUGCCGUUAAACCCCCAACUUUCCAAGGUUGACCUCAGAUCAGGUAGGAAUACCCGCUGAACUUAAGCAUAUCAAUAAGCGGAGGA